Molecule: ribosomal RNA, 406 nt
Filed under: uncultured bacterium
Lineage: Bacteria
Description: partial 16S ribosomal RNA
Rfam family: Bacterial small subunit ribosomal RNA
Source: RNAcentral
AUUGAACGCUGGCGGCAAGCCUAACACAUGCAAGUCGAACGAGUGGCGGACGGGUGAGUAAUGUCUGGGAAACUGCCUGAUGGAGGGGGCUAACUACUGGAAACGGUAGCUAAUACCGCAUACCAUCGGAUGUGCCCAGAUGGGAUUAGCUAGUAGGUGGGGUAAUGGCCCACCUAGGCGACGAUCCCUAGCUGGUCUGAGAGGAUGACCAUCCACCCUGGAACUGAAACACUUGCCAUACUCCUACGGGAGGCAGCAGUGGGGAAUAUUGCACAAUGGGCGCAAGCCUGAUGCAGCCAUGCCGCUUGUAUGAAGAAGGCCUUCGGGUUGUAAAGUACUUUCAGCGGGGAGGCGUUACCCGCAGAAGAAGCACCGGCUAACUCCGUGCCAGCAGCCGCGGUAAUUC